Non-coding RNA from Pogona vitticeps (central bearded dragon), 143 nucleotides. The record is from RefSeq and is a predicted model, not a curated record. NCBI's taxonomy places the organism in Eukaryota, Metazoa, Chordata, Lepidosauria, Squamata, Agamidae.
GUUGAGGGCAAUGACCACUAGCAGCCCCACUUUGCCUUCAGCUCAGAAAUAUGCAAAUGCUAAAUACAAUGGAGUAAUCUAUUCCCAGGAUUCAAAACCUUCAAAAAGUGGUUCAUCGGAGACCAUCCGUAUUACUGUCCAGG